AGUGAACGCUGGCGGUAGGCCUAACACAUGCAAGUCGAACGGCAGCACAGUAAGAGCUUGCUCUUACGGGUGGCGAGUGGCGGACGGGUGAGUAAUACAUCGGAAUCUACUUUUUCGUGGGGGAUAACGUAGGGAAACUUACGCUAAUACCGCGUACGACCUACGGGUGAAAGCAGGGGAUCUUCGGACCUUGCGCGAUUGAAUGAGCCGAUGUCGGAUUAGCUAGUUGGCGGGGUAAAGGCCCACCAAGGCGACGAUCCGUAGCUGGUCUGAGAGGAUGAUCAGCCACACUGGAACUGAGACACGGUCCAGACUCCUACGGGAGGCAGCAGUGGGGAAUAUUGGACAAUGGGCGCAAGCCUGAUCCAGCCAUACCGCGUGGGUGAAGAAGGCCUUCGGGUUGUAAAGCCCUUUUGUUGGGAAAGAAAAGCAGCAGGUUAAUACCCCGCUGUUCUGACGGUACCCAAAGAAUAAGCAUCGGCUAACUUCGUG
This 492-nucleotide ribosomal RNA is filed under the name uncultured bacterium. RNAcentral describes it as "partial 16S ribosomal RNA". It matches the Rfam family "Bacterial small subunit ribosomal RNA", at positions 29 to 507 of the family's 1533-position model. The record is from RNAcentral.